This 464-nucleotide ribosomal RNA is filed under the name uncultured Myxococcales bacterium. Its description in RNAcentral is "partial 16S ribosomal RNA". The record is from RNAcentral. Lineage: Bacteria; Pseudomonadati; Myxococcota; Myxococcia; Myxococcales.
GACUACAGGGGUAUCUAAUCCUGUUUGCUCCCCACGCUUUCGCGUCUCAGCGUCAGUCACCGUCCAGAUGGCCGCCUUCGCCACCGGUGUUCCUCUCGAUAUCUACGAAUUUCACCUCUACACCGAGAAUUCCACCAUCCUCUCCGGGACUCAAGUCUCGCAGUUUCGAAUGCACUUCCUCAGUUGAGCCAAGGGCUUUCACAUCCGACUUGCUAGACCGCCUACACGCGCUUUACGCCCAGUAAUUCCGAACAACGUUUGCACCCUCUGUCUUACCGCGGCUGCUGGCACAGAGUUAGCCGGUGCUUGCUAAGGAGGUACCGUCAUCGGUGCGGGUAUUAGCCGCCCCUUAUUCUUCCCUCCCCACAGGGCUUUACAACCCGAAGGCCUUCAUCACCCACGCGGCGUCGCUGCGUCAGGCUUUCGCCCAUUGCGCAAAAUUCCCCACUGCAGCCACCCGUAGG